Molecule: ribosomal RNA, 320 nt
Filed under: uncultured Chloroflexota bacterium
Lineage: Bacteria; Bacillati; Chloroflexota
Description: bacterial SSU rRNA
Rfam family: Bacterial small subunit ribosomal RNA
Source: RNAcentral
GAUGAACGCUGGCGGCGUGCCUAACACAUGCAAGUCGAACGGUCACCUUGGAUUCGUCCGGGGUGAGAGUGGCAAACGGGUGAGUAACACGUAGGUGACCUGCCCCAAAGAGGGGAAUAACUGCUGGAAACGGUGGCUAAUACCCCAUGGUCUCGGUGGUUCAUUUCACCGAGUAAAGCUCCGGCGCUUUGGGAGGGGCCUGCGGCCCAUCAGGUAGUUGGUAGGGUAACGGCCUACCAAGCCGAUGACGGGUAGGGGGCGUGAGAGCGUGAUCCCCCACACUGGCACUGAGACACGGACCAGACUCCUACGGGUGGCAG